CAGUCGACGGCAGCACAGUGUAGCAAUACAUGGGUGGCGAGUGGCGCACGGGUGCGUAACACGUAUGCAAUUUGCCCAUAACUGGGGGAUAGCCCUCCGAAAGGAGGAUUAAUACCCCAUAACCCAGCGAGGUGGCAUCACCUUUCUGGUAAAUCUCCGGAGGUUAUGGAUGAGCAUGCGUCUGAUUAGCUAGUUGGUGAGGUAACGGCUCACCAAGGCAACGAUCAGUAGGGGGUCUGAGAGGAUGAUCCCCCACACGGGUACUGAGACACGGACCCGACUCCUACGGGAGGCAGCAGUAAGGAAUAUUGGACAAUGGAGGCAACUCUGAUCCAGCCAUGCCGCGUGAAGGAUGAAGGCCCUACGGGUUGUAAACUUCUUUUCUCUUAGAAAAAACUACUGGUUUCGUACCGGUACUGAUUGUACAAGAGGAAUAAGCAUCGGCUAACUUCGUGCCAGCAGCCGCGGUAAUACGAAGGAUGCAAGCGUUAUCCGGAUUCACUGGGUUUAAAGGGUGUGCAGGUGGGGUAAUAAGUCGGUGGUGAAAGCCCCCGACUCAAUCGGGGAACUGCCAUAGAUACUGUUAUUCUUGAGUGUGGUUGAGGCGGAUGGAGUAUGACAUGUAGCGGUGAAAUGCUU
This 639-nucleotide ribosomal RNA is filed under the name uncultured Bacteroidota bacterium. Its description in RNAcentral is "bacterial SSU rRNA". It matches the Rfam family "Bacterial small subunit ribosomal RNA", at positions 59 to 691 of the family's 1533-position model. The record is from RNAcentral. Lineage: Bacteria; Pseudomonadati; Bacteroidota.